Molecule: long non-coding RNA, 1854 nt
Organism: Lepus europaeus (European hare)
Lineage: Eukaryota; Metazoa; Chordata; Mammalia; Lagomorpha; Leporidae
Exons: 3
Source: RefSeq, a predicted model, not a curated record
CUGAGGCAGGAACAUCACCUUCUUCAGUGCUACUGUGUACUCCCCUGGAUACCCCCCAGCCUACGCUAGCUCCCAGGACUGCAUCUGGCUGAUCCCCGUGCCCAUCAGUCAUGGCGUCCUGCUCAACCUCAGCCUGCUGCAGACAGCCUUCUGGAGACUUCAUCGCCAUCUGCCCUUAAGGCAGCCUGCCUCAGGCCCCUCUGCCCGGCUUCAUCCUGGUCCAGAUGAGCACCACACUAGGCGGCUCCAUCCAUUUCAGUUGCAACGCUGGCUACCGCGUGGUGGGACACAGCAUGGCCAUUUGCACCUGGCACCCCCCAGCGCUACCACCUGUGGAGCGAAGCCAUUCCUCUCUGCCAAGACUUUGAAGACGGAGGGAAAAACAAGUUUUUAAACACCUUACAUCCUGAAGGUGCUCAAGAAGUCUAGAAAUUCCAAAUGGCACGAGAAACACACAUCACCCAAGACUCAUGUCCUCACCUUAAAAUUAAUAAAUCCUGACAUUUUUGGAGGGAAGGCCAAGGGGGAGGGGUGCCAUGGGAAACUGGGAUUCCUGGAAGUGGGUACAUCUACAUCAUAACAGCCAGUCUAAGAGGACCUGGAAGCCCCUUGUUCACACCUUUAAAGCAAUGACAUGAAUAUUUAAAGCUGGGCUUAACCGUUUCUGUCCUGGGCAUUUCUCCCUCCUCCUAAGCCAGUGCACGCCGGGGCGGGGGCCAAGCAGAACCAUGGGCAGCCCCAUACCUACCUCCCAAGUCCUGAGCCCCGGAAGUGCGCAGCAGGGUGGGCUCAGGGGCUGGGCCUGCUCCUGGAAGCCUGUGUUGCCUGGGGUAGGGGGGAGGUGGGGGCAGCGUAGUGUACCAGUGCAAUGCUGGCUUCUACCUCAUUGGCAUGUCGGUGCAUCUGCCAGCAGGAUCACCACUGGUCUGGCAAGACCCCUCUCUGUGUGUGUAAGUAUGUUGCCUGCUCUCCCUCACCGUGGAGCUGGGUUCAGCACGUGCUCCCCCCUUAUCUUGUGAUCCCGUUACCGAGGGGCUUUUAUAGAUUUAUUCAUUUUUUCCCAAAUACGUAAUCAUUCCAUGCAUCAUUUUCAGCUCUCUGCAUCAGUAAUUGCAGCUUUUAUUUACUUCCUCCUUGUGAAUUCUUUCAGAUGACUUUUAAGUUCAUUUUCUAGUUUUUGAGUUAAGAAUUUAAGUGGUUCUCAUUCUUUAAAGAUUGUAUUGGUUUUAUCAAUAAAGGUGUUAAGACAAUCACAUUUUUUCUGAUCGCUGCUUUAACUGUAUCCCAUGGCUCCUAAUAAUGGUUAUUUAUUAGAAAUUCUGUAAUUUUACUACUACAGUCCCUUUUUGAAGGACCCUUAUGGGGGAGAGGGACAAGAAACUAGGCCUGGGCAAAUAUCAGGGGCUUCUUAAGAGGUUAGAUGUUCCCCAGAGUCUAGCGGGCAGGACGUUCUCUGGGAAGGAAAAGUCAAUCCCCUUCAGAGAACCUCUAGGCACGCCCAGAGCAGAACUGCCCCUCCCCUCCAGGAAACCUCUGGGCGCGCCCAGAGCAGAGCUGCCCCUCCCUUCGGAGGGUCUCUAGGCGCACACUUAUGAUGUCACUGCGACCGGCCAAUCCUGUAACACCUCAGCACUCUCGCUUAGCACUCUCCCUCAGCAUUCUCCGGUAUGCUAAUUGUCCCUCCGAACCAACCAAUCCCGUGCCACCUCUGCAUUUUAUACCAGCACUCUCCACCAGCAUUCUUCGCCAGCAUUCUCCCAUAUGCUAACGGUCCCUCUGAACUGACCAAUCCUAUGCAUGCGUUAGGAAUAUGCUAAUUCGUUGCCUAUAUAACCUGUGUGAAACUGCCGCUCA